GUAUCUGAAGCCUGACGAGGAUGAGAACCUCCGGGGGCAAGAGGUUCGACCCGAGCGAAGCGAGAAAACGUUGCGUCAGCAACGGCCCGCAGUGGCAAGUCAUCCUCUGUCACCGGCAG
RNAcentral lists this small RNA (119 nucleotides) under Salmonella enterica. RNAcentral's name for it is "RtT sRNA". It matches the Rfam family "RtT RNA". From Rfam's summary of the family: This family represents a bacterial cis-regulatory element known as RtT RNA. Lineage: Bacteria; Pseudomonadati; Pseudomonadota; Gammaproteobacteria; Enterobacterales; Enterobacteriaceae. The record is from RNAcentral. RNAcentral also lists the same sequence under 2 other names.